This 616-nucleotide unclassified non-coding RNA is filed under the name Hevea brasiliensis (rubber tree). The record is from RNAcentral. Lineage: Eukaryota; Viridiplantae; Streptophyta; Magnoliopsida; Malpighiales; Euphorbiaceae.
GGCUAGAGCAUUCCAACUACAGGUAAUGACUAUAUAAAAAAAAGUAGGGGAAGAAAGAUAGAAAACUAGUCCUUCUUAACACAGAUGCUCGACCUUAAGAAGUAAUGUAUAUUAUGUUGCCCAAAUGCACCCAAUCACACACCUAUCAAAAUUAUGGAAUUACAAUUAUGGAAUUACACUCUGAGUUGAAGUAUCAAAAUUAGCACUAAUUCUCUUAUCUGAGUGCUCAGGAGGGUGUAUGGCUCAAGUUCCCUUCAUAUUCACUUGAUGAAUUAAAAAUUGUCUAAUAAAAAUGUCCAGUUAGUACGAGUUGAGUGAAUGGAUUACAGGUCCAGCUAAUUGAUUUUUCCCAAUAGAAUGUCCCUGUCUUUCAUGUUCUAUGGUUGAUAUGUAUCAUUACAGGGCAUGUAUCAAUAGAAUGUCCUUGUCAUACAUGUUAUAUUUUUCAUAUUUGAGCUAAUAUCCUGAUAUUAAGAAAUGCCACCGGACCACAUAGACGCCAGACUAACAACUGUGUGACCCUUUUGAUAUAUAAGAUCAUCCUUCAUCAAUAAUUGAUUGAGAUUAUUCAUGCUGCCAUCAUAUUGCCCUGCAGGUUGAAGUUUUUCAUCUCAAA